UUUAGGCAACUACCCUAAAGGGAAAUAAAACUAAGUGAGAUUCCACAUGGUCUCAGUAAUACCUGUAGUGCAAAAUCAAAUGCUUAUAGGGAGUGAAACAGAAUGCGGCCGAUACCUGUGGAAAAGAGUGCUUCAAUUGUCUUAUGUCUACGACCAGCCUAAGCUCAUAGCCAUACAAAUAUAUAUACCAUACAUGUGCUGAAACUAAGUUAAAUUUCUUGUUUUUAAUUGUCUUAAGUAUCAAACUUGGAUCAUCAGAACAUGUUGGAAAAACACGGCUCUGAAGCCAACUUAUUAAGCACCUGUGCUGUAUCGAACAUUUUACAUUUGUUCAUUUAACAUAUCUAGAUAAAUCUACUCAUUUACAGCUAUAGUGAUCCAAGAUUUCAUCACAGCAGAUUAAAACAAAACCUUUAAGUUAAAAAUAAUUUAAAAUCAGUGAAUAUAUUAAUACUAUGAGAGUCUUUGCCUAUGAGAAUACAGAACUUUGGCCCAAAUGUUUCAUUAAUCUACAGGGUUAUAUACAUUUGGAGCACAGUUUUGUUGUUUGUUUGUUUGUUUUUAAUCCUCUUCCCAAAAAUGGGUUUCUUUAGGCAGCUCGAGACUCCUGUGUUAGACAAGAGGAAAAGGAGUGGGUGCCUCUCGACUGGGACCAGUGGACAUUAUUAUGGGAAUAUACCAGUGGUGGCAGGUUGAUGACCUUAUCUCCCUGCAGGGUAGUAUUUCUCUCUGGGCUCUCAGCAGGUCUGCCUGUCACUGCCACCCAGAAGUGGAGCCACCUUCUGAAGCCCAAACCGAGGAGGGAGAGCCCAGGGUCCUCUGAAGCCCAAACCGAGGAGGGAGAGCCCAGGGUCCUCAGGCGCCUCGCAGCAGGAGGCCAGGAGUUCACCCACAGUGUCUAGUUCCUUGUUAUCUUUCUUUUUCCCUCCAUUGGCACAAAGCCACCUAGAAAAAAAAAGGAGUAUUAAUUCAUCCCUCUAUUCACACAAGAAGACAACAUAUUGUUUAAAUAAGAAAGGAGCAUGAUUUCCCGAAUCUUCAGCAAGACCUUGAAUACAGUUUCCAAAGUAGGCCUGCUGUAAAAGUUCUGUGGAUUAUUAUAAACUGCAGGUAGUUAAGAGUGUGUGUUUUUAUCUUGAGUAUGUAGCUGGUGACUUUUUAAAAAAAUUAAAAUGCCUCUGUGUUCCUGAAAGCUGAGUAAAU
This 1203-nucleotide long non-coding RNA is filed under the name Homo sapiens (human). Its description in RNAcentral is "HSALNT0027195". The record is from RNAcentral. Lineage: Eukaryota; Metazoa; Chordata; Mammalia; Primates; Hominidae.